Molecule: ribosomal RNA, 642 nt
Filed under: Ruminococcus sp. AM42-11
Lineage: Bacteria; Bacillati; Bacillota; Clostridia; Eubacteriales; Oscillospiraceae
Description: partial 23S ribosomal RNA
Rfam family: Bacterial large subunit ribosomal RNA
Source: RNAcentral
AGGUCAAGCAAUAAGGGCACAGGGCGGAUGCCUUGGCACUAAGAGCCGAAGAAAGACGUGAUAAGCUGCGAUAAGCUUCGGGGAGGAGCAAAUAUCCUUUGAUCCGGAGAUCUCUGAAUGGGGAAACCCGGCAGAGCACACCUCUGUCAUCCAUACGCCAAUCCAUAACGUAUGGAAGGGAACCCGGGGAACUGAAACAUCUAAGUACCCGGAGGAAAAGAAAGAAAACUCGAUUCUGCAAGUAGCGGCGAGCGAACGCGGAAGAGCCUAAACCGGAAUGCGUGCAUUCCGGGGUUACGGACUGCAUUAAUGAUUCUUAGAAGCUAACAGAACGGUUUUGGGAAAGCCGGCCGAAGAGGGUGAAAGCCCCGUAUGUGAAAGCAGAUGAGACUGAGCAGGAUCCAGAGUACCACGAGACACGAGAAACCUUGUGGGAAGUCAGGGGGACCACCCCCUAAGGCUAAAUACUACUUAGUGACCGAUAGCGCAUAGUACUGUGAAGGAAAGGUGAAAAGGACCCCGGGAGGGGAGUGAAAGAGAACCUGAAACCCUGUGUCUACAAGCUGUGGGAGCACCUUAUGCGUGCAACCGCGUACUUUUUGUAGAACGGUCCGGCGAGUUACGCUUACUGGCAAGGUUAAG